RNAcentral lists this ribosomal RNA (253 nucleotides) under uncultured prokaryote. RNAcentral's name for it is "partial 16S ribosomal RNA". It matches the Rfam family "Bacterial small subunit ribosomal RNA", at positions 524 to 776 of the family's 1533-position model. The record is from RNAcentral.
AACGUAGGUGGCGAGCGUUAUCCGGAUUUACUGGGCGUAAAGGGUGUGCAGGCGGGCUGUUAAGUGGUGCAUGAAAGCGCUCGGCUCAACCGAGCGAGGCUGUGCCAGACUGGCAGUCUAGAGUACGAGAGAGGGCUGUGGAAUUCCGGGUGUAGUGGUGAAAUGCGUAGAUAUCGGGAGGAACACCAGUGGCGAAGGCGAGUCUCUGGGAUGAUGCUGACGCUGAUGCGCGAAAGCCAGGGGAGCAAACGGG